RNAcentral lists this non-coding RNA (23 nucleotides) under Mus musculus (house mouse). Lineage: Eukaryota; Metazoa; Chordata; Mammalia; Rodentia; Muridae. RNAcentral also lists the same sequence under 1 other name. The record is from RNAcentral.
GCUUCUCUGGACAGUGCCCUCCC